UACAGAGGGAGCUAGCGUUAUUCGGAAUUACUGGGCGUAAAGCGCACGUAGGCGGCUUUGUAAGUAAGAGGUGAAAGCCUGGAGCUCAACUCCAGAACUGCCUUUUAGACUGCAUCGCUUGAAUCCAGGAGAGGUGAGUGGAAUUCCUGGUGUAGCGGUGAAAUGCGCAGAUAUCAGGAGGAACACCAGUGGCGAAGGCAGGCUCG
RNAcentral lists this ribosomal RNA (206 nucleotides) under uncultured bacterium. RNAcentral's name for it is "partial 16S ribosomal RNA". It matches the Rfam family "Bacterial small subunit ribosomal RNA", at positions 524 to 728 of the family's 1533-position model. The record is from RNAcentral.